GAUGAACGCUGGCGGCGUGCCUAAUACAUGCAAGUCGAGCGAACAGACGAGGAGCUUGCUCCUCUGACGUUAGCGGCGGACGGGUGAGUAACACGUGGAUAACCUACCUAUAAGACUGGGAUAACUUCGGGAAACCGGAGCUAAUACCGGAUAAUAUAUUGAACCGCAUGGUUCAAUAGUGAAAGACGGUUUUGCUGUCACUUAUAGAUGGAUCCGCGCCGCAUUAGCUAGUUGGUAAGGUAACGGCUUACCAAGGCGACGAUGCGUAGCCGACCUGAGAGGGGGGUAGGCGACCCGGGAGGGUGACCACGGACCAGACUCCUACGGGAGGCAGCAGUAGGGAAUCGUCCGCAACAGUCGAGAGCAUGACGGAGUAACGCCGCGUGAGUGAUGAAGGUCUUCGGAGCGGAAAACUCUGUUAUUAGGGAAGAACAAAUGUGUAAGUAACUAUGCACGUCUUGACGGUACCUGAUCAGAAAGCCACGGCUAACUACGUG
Molecule: ribosomal RNA, 497 nt
Filed under: uncultured bacterium
Lineage: Bacteria
Description: partial 16S ribosomal RNA
Rfam family: Bacterial small subunit ribosomal RNA
Source: RNAcentral